UUCUACAGUAAAUGAUAGCUAUGUUUGUUUCCAAAGGAUACCUAAAGAUACAGCUCCUAUAUGUUUUCUAAAAGAAACAAGCUGUGUCCACUGAAUCAGUCUCACACACAGUAUGAUGUUGUUGUCUGACUUUGUUGUUUUUCACCACUUUGGCUUAUGAGUACACUGCUGCAUUUCAUUCAGUUGCUUCAAUUUUGUUGUGAUGCGAGUUGAGUUUAUGAGGGAAAUAAAUAACAUAACAUUCUUCCACUAUGUGACAUGCUGUACAGAAAGACAGAAAGCGGAGAAUGUUUACCAGUUCACCAUGUAGUAAGCCAAAGCGGUUUCUGGACACUGAGGUGCUAUUCCAUGAUGACAAUACAACCUGGAUUCUUGAAGAAAGAAAGACUUUGUUUGAUUCUGACAGUUACACUGUUAUACAGUAGAUGAGCGUUAGUGAACAUUUAAUCUGCCCUCAGUGGCACACGCAGCAGGACUUACUCGGUAAUGCAUUUUUAGUAGCUAAAAUUAAGUAACUAUUUUCUUAAGAAAAUGUAUGUCUUUGCCGUGGAAGCUGCUGUGCAUAUUAACUUUGGAAGUGUCUAACAAAUGUUAAUCCCAUAACAGAAAUGUUUUAUACAUGUUAUUGCACUUUUAGCAUUAUACUGUAUCAUAGUAAAGAAUUGAGAGAUAUUUUCAAGGUGAGAAUGAUAUGUUUUGUCUUGCAGUAUGAUCGGAAUUUGGAGGGAACUUGUAUUUUUUCAAAAACGUUAUUGAGAGUAUUCACCAACUGGAAGGUUGAUAUGAACAUGAUAAGGUACUGAACAUGUGUCAUGUUGAUUGUGUUUUUGUCAAAACUCAGAUGAUAUUCUUACACCAAAUCACUUGAAAUGUAAUUUGUGUUUGUAUCUAAUACUGCCAGUCUCUUAUUGGCUUGCCAAAUGGAUUUUAUUUUUGCUUACAACAUUGGGAGGAAAAUAACAUUGAACAUAAUAUUUUCUGGAUGGCUUGGGCAGGUUUCACAAUGAGAAUUAUUAAAAAUGUAAAUAUUAAAGAUAUUAACAUGACAUUUGGCUCAUCAAAUGUUUUUUCUUCAGACAACAGACUCAUACAGUAGUCAUAAUAACCGUUUUAAAAUGAUAACGGUAUACUGAGGUAUUCAGAGAAUGUGAACCCCCAAAACUCUUAGGUCUUAUAGCCUAUUGUACAGUAUUGAAUUUAAAUCAUAUUUUAUUGCAUCAGUUUAAUAAUUGUACAACUCUGUGGAUGACAGUUGAAUAAUAUGGUUGACUGUGUUGGAAUCUAACAAAACCCUUUAUCUUGUGCCAGUUCUGGUAACCUUGUCUUCAUGCUGACUAAAAAGUACAAAAUGUAGCCUCAUCACAGCUCCAAGGAUUCUCUUUGAACAUUCCUAUUGAUUGCUUUGACCUGUUACAUUUCAUUCUAUUAUCUGAGAAGGGAAUCCAACUUUACAGGCUCAAACCAAAUGAGGUAAACUUUCAAUACAAAAAACCUUCUUGAAAUGUUUCUUUAGUUCAAAGCUUCUCCUUCUUAAAGGGCAUGUUUUAUUCUGUGUCUCUAUAUUUUCAACUGGGAAGGUGGGUAGUAAUAACAUUGGUGUAUCUGAAGCAUAGAAUUUAUAAGAUGUUUUACUUUGUAAAAGAAACCUCUUGAGACAAACAUGGCAUUGAACUUAUGAAUCAAAGCUGAUGGAAUUAUGAAUCAAAGCUUUUUGCAACUUACUUUUUUACAUGUUCUGUAAAUGGAAGGUCAGCUAUAUAAAAGUCAUGACUAGAAUCAA
Long non-coding RNA from Coregonus clupeaformis (lake whitefish), 1780 nucleotides. RefSeq lists it as uncharacterized. NCBI's taxonomy places the organism in Eukaryota, Metazoa, Chordata, Actinopteri, Salmoniformes, Salmonidae. The transcript has 2 exons. The record is from RefSeq and is a predicted model, not a curated record.